CCUGAGAAAUCCAAAAGUUCGAAUGGAGAGAUUCAGCGUCAGUGUUUGUUGGCUUGCGUGCGACUCGCGAUGUUUCGACGAUACGGUGUGAAUUUUUUUGCAUCAUAUCCCGGGACACGCGGUCGCUGCGUCAUGUUCCAACGACGCCGGCGUGCACUUCUCUCCUAGUAGGACGUCGCGACCCGUUGGGUUUGUGCCACGUCGGUCAUUGCGGGCCCGUACGGUAGACUGUUGAGCUCCGUGCUCGACAGACCAUCGGUGUAUUACCCGACCGACUGCCCGACGGUAUUGAAAACUAAAAAUCAUGAUUGGUAUCGAGCCGCAAUUUUGAAUGCGUUCGGCUUGUCGAUCGGUCAAGGAGUCUCGCUCGGUAAUGGACCUGGUGCCGUUGCCGUGGCGUUUGGCUCCUUCGAUCGUCAAUGUCCUCGAACAGGCUCGGAGCACGGGUUUCGCGCCCGUGCUUUUACCGGUCGGCGACGCUUUUGCUUUGGAUACUUUCAGG
Molecule: ribosomal RNA, 502 nt
Filed under: Copidosoma nr. coimbatorense YZZ-2014
Lineage: Eukaryota; Metazoa; Arthropoda; Insecta; Hymenoptera; Encyrtidae
Description: eukaryotic LSU rRNA
Source: RNAcentral